ACGGGAGGCAGCAGUGGGGAAUAUUGGACAAUGGGCGCAAGCCUGAUCCAGCGACGCCGCGUGAGCGAAGAAGUAUUUCGGUAUGUAAAGCUCUAUCAGCAGGGAAGAAAAUGACGGUACCUGACUAAGAAGCCCCGGCUAACUACGUGCCAGCAGCCGCGGUAAUACGUAGGGGGCAAGCGUUAUCCGGAUUUACUGGGUGUAAAGGGAGCGCAGACGGAAGUGCAAGUCAGAAGUGAAAAUCCGGGGCUCAACCCCGGAACUGCUUUUGAAACUGUGCAUCUAGAGUGCGGGAGAGGCAAGCGGAAUUCCUAGUGUAGCGGUGAAAUGCGUAGAUAUUAGGAGGAACACCAGUGGCGAAGGCGGCUUGCUGGACCGUAACUGACGUUGAGGCUCGAAAGCGUGGGGAGCAAACAGGAUUAGAUACCCUGGUA
RNAcentral lists this ribosomal RNA (434 nucleotides) under uncultured Lachnospiraceae bacterium. RNAcentral describes it as "partial 16S ribosomal RNA". It matches the Rfam family "Bacterial small subunit ribosomal RNA", at positions 341 to 792 of the family's 1533-position model. Lineage: Bacteria; Bacillati; Bacillota; Clostridia; Lachnospirales; Lachnospiraceae. The record is from RNAcentral.